GAUCAUGGCUCAGGAUGAACGCUAGCGACAGGCUUAACACAUGCAAGUCGAGGGGCAGCACAGGUAGCAAUACCGGGUGGCGACCGGCACACGGGUGAGUAACGCGUAUGCAACUUACCUAUCAGAGGGGGAUAACCCGGCGAAAGCCGGACUAAUACCGCAUGAAGCAGGGGCCCCGCAUGGGGAUAUUUGCUAAAGAUUCAUCGCUGAUAGAUAGGCAUGCGUUCCA
This 229-nucleotide ribosomal RNA is filed under the name uncultured bacterium. Its description in RNAcentral is "partial 16S ribosomal RNA". It matches the Rfam family "Bacterial small subunit ribosomal RNA", at positions 15 to 240 of the family's 1533-position model. The record is from RNAcentral.